UACAAAACAUAACUAUCCAUAUCAAUGAAUUAUCCGUGGGAAUGUCCAAGGAACUCCUUUUGAAAUCAAACAUAUCAGAAGCCCCCUUCACGUCUUCUUUCAGAAACUUAACCCUCUCUUCUUUCUAAAGUUGAGGUGCUCCAUAAGGACAAAUACCUACAGUUCUACCCUUGCAAUGAUUGGCCUAUUUCUAAUUGGAUUUGAAAUUACAUUCUUUUUAAUCAAACGAGAAAAAAUUGUAUGGAUUCAGGUUCAUGAUACAAGAGAAUGCUUUUAUUACAUGGUGAAGAACAGAACCAUCAUGGCCUCAGCCCAGAAUGAAAAUUUUAAUGGUGAAUGAAGGAAGAGCAUCAUCAUUUUGUUCAGGCAACUUUCUAGAAACACAUUUUUGUAAAGUUUGUCCCAAUGUUUCU
Mustela lutreola (European mink) is the source of this 413-nucleotide long non-coding RNA. RefSeq lists it as uncharacterized. The transcript is spliced from 3 exons. The record is from RefSeq and is a predicted model, not a curated record. NCBI's taxonomy places the organism in Eukaryota, Metazoa, Chordata, Mammalia, Carnivora, Mustelidae.